Molecule: long non-coding RNA, 1223 nt
Filed under: Vulpes vulpes (red fox)
Lineage: Eukaryota; Metazoa; Chordata; Mammalia; Carnivora; Canidae
Description: lncRNA (ENSVVUG00000001042.1)
Source: RNAcentral
GGUGCCUUUUGGGCACAAGGUCCCGGAGUGCAGGCGGCGUGGCCGACUGGCGGUCCUCCUGGAUCCAGGCUGGGAGAUGCCCGACGUCGUCCACGGUGACGCGGGCCGUCGGGGACCUGGGGAGGUCCUGGCAGCAGUCCCCGGCUGAGCACCCCCGCAGCAGGCUGCUUCUGAGCAUCCCAGGCAGCGUUCCGAGUGCAGCGCCCGAUCCCUGAAUCCGAGACACGGAUGAAUGUCUGGGUGUCGCCCUCGAAUUCCAACUCACACGAGUGCGACUUGUCUACACAGCCUCCGUGUGCGCGGGGCCGAGCCGUGGCCUCCGGCUGCGCACGGGGGAGGACAAGCAGCCACGGUAGCCGGCUUUACCACGUAAUUCCCCGCCGGUUGCCUGUGCUGUGCGAGGCUCCAGAGAUGCUCCAGGCCAAUGGCCCAGUGCCUUGUAUUUCACGGACACAGACGAGAAGCUCAGAGAGGGUUGUCAGCGGCUCCGUGCUUCCGCGCUUCCGUUGUGUUCAUCUUUGUGUCCCCGGGCCCCGCAUAGUGCCUGAGGGAACGGGGUCGAUUCACCAAGAGUCCCCAGCUGGCAGUACCCCGAGGAGGGGACACCCGCGGUGCCCAGGCUGAGAUCCGCCGCCGGAUGCCCGAGUGCAUGCGGGGGGCCUGGGCCUCUUGCCAGGGGACGGCCACCCCGAGGAGGGGACACCCGCCGUGCCUGGGCCUGAGAUCCUCUGCCGGAUGCCCGAGUGCAUGCGGGGGGCCUGGGCCUCCUGCCAGGGGACCCGCCGACCCGGGCCUUCCUCACAGGCUGGCGAGGCCCAUCCCCGGGCCAGCAGGGUGCUCCCGAUGGCACAGCCUGGAACCCGGCUCACCGACGCACAAUUAGCCAGCUUUUUGUCUUUGGAUCUGCCUGGAAGUGACUCACAGGCUGGAAAAAACCUUCUGGAAACAAAUUGGGGGGGGGGGGGGGAGGUGAAGNGUGGGGGGGGGGGGAGUAGGUUAAGUCACUCCAGCGUUUUCUUAGAUAACGUGGAUGUGCUGCCCCGUAAACGUUGAACACCACGCAUUUCCUCAGCCUCCCUCCGACAAAGACCCAGGGGGAUUAGUAAGCCUGACGAUUCACUCAUUUUCUCCAAGAAUUUUAUUAAAUGCAAUUUAGAGGGGAUAAAGUUUCUUGUCUUUUUUCUUUCUAUUCACUUGAAUAAACCCGAAUCACCACUGGGGCA